CCUCUUUUUCCACAGCCAACCAUCCCGCCGCCGCCCCUUGUCCUCCACCGAGCUACCAAGCCGCCGCCACACCACUCCACCUACGUUACUUCCCCCACGCAGCUAGCGGCAGCCGCCGCACGCCAGAUCUGCUCGACCCAUGUCUGGUUGAACGAACGCGAGGCCUCCAUGCUCCGUCUUCCAUACGGCCCCCGAGCCUAGAUCUAGACCCGACGGACCUUCAGCCUCAUGUUCCUCUCGGAGCUCCUCCCGUUCCUUCCUCACCACUGAGUCAUGGAUUCCGUCGAAGACCGCUGCCCCACCUUCGCCAUGCACCUUGCCGAUCCCUACCCUGGAUCUGAUGCCGACGCUUGCCGAGGACCGCCCCCUUCAGAUCUGUCGCACCUGCACAUCCCUGCCUUGCUUGCUACGCCCCAUCGCUAGAUCUGCGAGCCCCCAUCGUCAAGCAUCAUUUCCAGCGGUCACUGUCUCGCAUCUUCAUCAAGUUCGAUGGGAUCCCAUGCUCACAGCCCAUUCCUGUCGGCUCUGGUGGGCCGCCUCGACAAACCGGCUGGCUUCCGACCCGAGGGUGGGGGAUUUGGUCAAUGCACACGGGAGUUUGAUGCUUUCUUCUUUCUAAGCUCGAUAUAAAUGAGCUACUCAGAGAGCUCACGCAUGAUGCAUUGCCGUGUCCUCGGUUCUGAGUGGUUGACCAUCUACUUUGCAUUGUGUAGUCACAUGUGUCCCAAUUCAUAUGGCUAUCAGUCGCCACAACAAGGCCAUAAAAGUGAACACUACUCAACCCAGAAACAAACGAACAAACACUGUUGAUGGCAAAUAAUAUAUGACUCAUAUAGUCAUAUUGCGUAAAGUAGUCGGCGCGACGUGUAGGAACUACAGAGCUGGGCCGGCCCAUUAAUGCUUGG
Triticum dicoccoides is the source of this 905-nucleotide long non-coding RNA. RefSeq lists it as uncharacterized. The record is from RefSeq and is a predicted model, not a curated record. Lineage: Eukaryota; Viridiplantae; Streptophyta; Magnoliopsida; Poales; Poaceae. The transcript has 3 exons.